Molecule: ribosomal RNA, 200 nt
Filed under: uncultured bacterium
Lineage: Bacteria
Description: partial 16S ribosomal RNA
Rfam family: Bacterial small subunit ribosomal RNA
Source: RNAcentral
ACGCUCGACACCUACGGGAGGCAGCAGUGGGGAAUAUUGCACAAUGGGGGAAACCCUGAUGCAGCGACGCCGCGUGAGCGAAGAAGUAUUUCGGUAUGUAAAGCUCUAUCAGCAGGGAAGAAACUGACGGUACCUGACUAAGAAGCACCGGCUUAAAAUACGUGCUAGCAGCCGGCGGUAAUCUGAGCGGGCUGGCAGGC